UUUUUUUGUAAUUUUGAAUCAGUUUGAAAAUUUGUCGUAUUUUAUUAUAAUAGUCUUUCAGGGAUUGAGCUUGGUCACCAAUUUUGGUAUCUCUUAAGCAAAUUUCGGAUGUUUAUGUGAGUUAUUCCUUACAAAUAUGUUUUUGAGCCUUAUAUUGAUUCGACAACCUAUAAAUAUAUUAUCUUAUGCAUACUAUUAAACUAAGAUGAGAAUGUCCCUCCAAUUUUAAAUUUCAGUAAAUAUCGUGCCUCCAAUUAUAUGAAUUAAUUAUGAAUUCUUGAUCUUAGAAAUUGAUUAUUGAGAAGAAUUAUUGUGGUGUAAAGAAUAAAACAGGAAAGAGAAGUGGAACAAACAAUUGUGUUCUUCAUGCAAGUUAGUUUUUAAUACACAUCUAUCUUUCUCUUUAACUAUUUGAUCUUUAUAUUAAGUUUGUUUCUGUCAAUUUAAUGCCUCACAUAUGACAAAUGUUUAUUACAUGUGCUAGAAAUUCAGGAUUAAUCGAUUUAACGAAUUGACUUUUUAACUGUUUAUUUUGGUUUAUUUUUACCGGUUUAAACCAUUAGUCUGUUGAAAUUUUAGUUGUUUAUUGUUUUGCUGCGGCCUUCUUGAUGAUGUCACCCCAUUGCUGUUCCAUCCUCCUAUUAUUUGCAGUUUCCUUGGUGUAGCCUUCUUCUCAUUGUUGUACCAUCUUCAAGCUAGGUAACAUUGACACCUUUUCCUAGAAUUCUUUUCAGUGACAUGCCUGUUUCUUGGUAAUUUAAUAUCAAUUUGAAAAUUUGUCGUAUUUUAUUAUAAUAGGCUUUCAGGGAUUGAACUUAGUCACCAAUUAUGGUAUCUCCUAAGAUUCCUUUUAUUCACAAUGCAAAUUUCGGAUGCUUCUGGGAGGUAUUGCUUACAAAUAUAUUUUUGAGCCUUAUAUUGAUUUGACAACCUAUAAAUUUAUUCUUUUAUGGACACUAUAAAACUGAGAUGAGAAUGUCCAUUCAAUUUAUAUCUUCGUAAAUGUUGUGACUUCAAUUUUUUGAAUUAGUAAUGAAUUGUUGAUCUUGUCAUUGGAUUAUUAUGAAGAAUCAAAUGGGAAAGAGAAGUUGAACAAACAAUCGUGUUCUUUAGCCUUCUUCUCAUUGUUGUACCA
Molecule: small RNA, 1135 nt
Filed under: Vigna angularis var. angularis
Lineage: Eukaryota; Viridiplantae; Streptophyta; Magnoliopsida; Fabales; Fabaceae
Description: Non-protein coding transcript
Source: RNAcentral